AUUGAACGCUGGCGGCAUGCUUUACACAUGCAAGUCGAACGGUAACAGGCCUUCGGGUGCUGACGAGUGGCGAACGGGUGAGUAAUGCAUCGGAACGUACCCAGAGGUGGGGGAUAACGCAGCGAAAGCUGUGCUAAUACCGCAUGUGAUCUGAGGAUGAAAGCGGGGGACCGAGCAGCAAUGUUUGGCCUCGCGCCUUUGGAGCGGCCGAUGUCGGAUUAGCUAGUUGGUGGGGUAAAGGCCUACCAAGGCGACGAUCCGUAGCUGGUCUGAGAGGACGACCAGCCACACUGGGACUGAGACACGGCCCAGACUCCUACGGGAGGCAGCAGUGGGGAAUUUUGGACAAUGGGCGCAAGCCCGAUCCAGCAAUGCCGCGUGCGGGAAGAAGGCCUUCGGGUUGUAAACCGCUUUUGGCAGGAACGAAACGGUGUCCGCUAAUACCGGGCGCUAAUGACGGUACCUGCAGAAUAAGCACCGGCUAACUACGUG
This 492-nucleotide ribosomal RNA is filed under the name uncultured bacterium. RNAcentral describes it as "partial 16S ribosomal RNA". It matches the Rfam family "Bacterial small subunit ribosomal RNA", at positions 29 to 507 of the family's 1533-position model. The record is from RNAcentral.